RNAcentral lists this ribosomal RNA (505 nucleotides) under uncultured bacterium. RNAcentral's name for it is "partial 16S ribosomal RNA". It matches the Rfam family "Bacterial small subunit ribosomal RNA", at positions 28 to 507 of the family's 1533-position model. The record is from RNAcentral.
GACGAACGCUGGCGGCGUGCCUAAUACAUGCAAGUAGGACGCACAGUCUAUACCGUAGCUUGCUACACCAUAGGCUGUGAGUUGCGAACGGGUGGGUAACGCGUAGGUAACCUGCCUAUUAGAGGGGGAUAACUAUUGGAAACGAUAGCUAAUACCGCAUAACAGUAUGUAACACAUGUUAGAUGCUUGAAAGAUGCAAUUGCAUCGCUAGUAGAUGGACCUGCGUUGUAUUAGCUAGUAGGUAGGGUAAUGGCCUACCUAGGCGACGAUACAUAGCCGACCUGAGAGGGUGAUCGGCCACACUGGGACUGAGACACGGCCCAGACUCCUACGGGAGGCAGCAGUAGGGAAUCUUCGGCAAUGGGGGGAACCCUGACCGAGCAACGCCGCGUGAGUGAAGAAGGUUUUCGGAUCGUAAAGCUCUGUUGUUAAGGAAGAACGAGCGUGAGAAUGGAAAGUUCAUACUGUGACGGUACUUAACCAGAAAGGGACGGCUAACUACGUG